AAUUUAUUUAUGUAAUAUUUAUUACAAAUAGUACUUGUUUUAUAUAGAAUUGAUUAUAUCUUUAGUAGGGAGUUUAUUAUUAAUU
Molecule: ribosomal RNA, 85 nt
Filed under: Drosophila virilis
Lineage: Eukaryota; Metazoa; Arthropoda; Insecta; Diptera; Drosophilidae
Description: partial ribosomal RNA large subunit
Source: RNAcentral